AUGGCUCAGACGAACGCUGGCGGCGCGUUUAAGCAUGCAAGUCGAGCGGCAAGGGCCUUCGGGCCCCUAGAGCGGCGGACGGGUGAGUAACACGUGGACAAUCUGCCCCCCGGCCCGGGAUAGCCCAGGGAAACCUGGAUUAAUACCGGAUGAGACGGGACCCGCGAUGGCGGGAUCCGGGAAAGGCGCUGCGGCGCCGCCGGGGGAUGAGUCUGCGUCCCAUUAGCUAGACGGCGGGGUAACGGCCCACCGUGGCGACGAUGGGUAGCCGGCCUGAGAGGGUGGACGGCCACAUUGGAACUGAGACACGGUCCAGACUCCUACGGGAGGCAGCAGCUAAGAAUCUUCCGCAAUGGGCGAAAGCCUGACGGAGCCGACGCCGCGUGAACGAAGAAGGCCGUGAGGUUGUAAAGUUCUUUUCGGGAGGGGGAACAACCGUGGCAGGGAAUGGCCGCGGGAUGACGUGAAUCCCGGAAUAAGCCCCGGCUAACUACGUGCCAGCCGCGGC
Molecule: ribosomal RNA, 508 nt
Filed under: uncultured bacterium
Lineage: Bacteria
Description: bacterial SSU rRNA
Rfam family: Bacterial small subunit ribosomal RNA
Source: RNAcentral